AGGGUUGUAGCUCUGUGGUAGAGCAUCUGCUUUGCAUGCAGAAGGUCCCACGUUCAACCUCUGGCAUCUCCA
Podarcis lilfordi (Lilford's wall lizard) is the source of this 72-nucleotide non-coding RNA. NCBI's taxonomy places the organism in Eukaryota, Metazoa, Chordata, Lepidosauria, Squamata, Lacertidae. The record is from the annotation of a GenBank genome assembly.